CCGGAGUUAAUACCGCAUACACUCUAUGGAGAAAAAGCAGGGGAUCGUUCGGACCUUGCGCUAUUGGAGUGAGCCUAUGUCGGAUUAGUUAGUUGGUGGGGUAAAGGCCGUACCAAGGCGACGAUCCGUAGCUGGUCUUAGAGGAUGAUCAGCCACAUCGGGACUGAGACACGGCCCGAACUCCUACGGGAGGCAGCAGUGGGGAAUAUUGCACAAUGGGCGCAAGCCUGAUGCAGCUAUGCCGCGUGUGUGAAGAAGGCCUUAGGGUUGUAAAGCACUUUCAGUAGUGAGGAAAAGUGUUGCGUUAAUAGCGCAAUGCUGUGACGUUAGCUACAGAAGAAGGACCGGCAAACUCCGUG
This 359-nucleotide ribosomal RNA is filed under the name uncultured bacterium. Its description in RNAcentral is "bacterial SSU rRNA". It matches the Rfam family "Bacterial small subunit ribosomal RNA", at positions 157 to 507 of the family's 1533-position model. The record is from RNAcentral.